Molecule: ribosomal RNA, 440 nt
Filed under: uncultured bacterium
Lineage: Bacteria
Description: partial 16S ribosomal RNA
Rfam family: Bacterial small subunit ribosomal RNA
Source: RNAcentral
CCUACGGGUGGCAGCAGUGGGGAAUAUUGCACAAUGGGGGGAACCCUGAUGCAGCGACGCCGCGUGGGUGAAGAAGGGCUUCGGCGUGUAAAGCUCUGUCAGCAGGGAAGAAAAUGACGGUACCUGACUAAGAAGCCCCGGCUAACUACGUGCCAGCAGCCGCGGUAAUACGUAGGGGGCAAGCGUUAUCCGGAUUUACUGGGUGUAAAGGGGGCGCAGACGGCGGUGCAAGUCAGGAGUGAAAGCCCAGGGCUUAACCCCGGGACUGCUCUUGAAACUGGGUAGCUGGAGUGCAGGAGGGGUAGGUGGAAUUCCUGGUGUAGCGGUGAAAUGCGUAGAUAUGAGGAGGAACACCGGUGGCGAAGGCGGCCUACUGGACUGCAACUGACGUUGAGGCGCGAAAGCGUGGGGAGCAAACAGGAUUAGAUACCCUGGUAGUC